UGAGGAAUAUUGGUCAAUGGACGAGAGUCUGAACCAGCCAAGUAGCGUGAAGGAUGAAGGUUCUAUGGAUUGUAAACUUCUUUUAUACGGGAAUAAACGAAUCCACGUGUGGAUUUUUGCAUGUACCGUAUGAAUAAGGAUCGGCUAACUCCGUGCCAGCAGCCGCGGUAAUACGGAGGAUCCGAGCGUUAUCCGGAUUUAUUGGGUUUAAAGGGAGCGUAGAUGGGUUGUUAAGUCAGUUGUGAAAGUUUGCGGCUCAACCGUAAAAUUGCAAUUGAUACUGGCAGUCUUGAGUACAGUUGAGGUAGGCGGAAUUCGUGGUGUAGCGGUGAAAUGCUUAGAUAUCACGAAGAACUCCGAUUGCGAAGGCAGCUUACUAACCUGUAACUGACAUUGAUGCUCGAAAGUGUGGGUAUCAAACAGG
Molecule: ribosomal RNA, 424 nt
Filed under: uncultured Bacteroides sp.
Lineage: Bacteria; Pseudomonadati; Bacteroidota; Bacteroidia; Bacteroidales; Bacteroidaceae
Also listed under: 1 other name
Description: bacterial SSU rRNA
Rfam family: Bacterial small subunit ribosomal RNA
Source: RNAcentral